UGGAAGUAAAAGUCGUAACAAGGUCUCCGUUGGUGAACCAGCGGAGGGAUCAUUACCGAGUCUUACAACUCCCAAACCCCUGUGAACUUAUACCUUUACCGUUGCUUCGGCGGGUUAACGCCCCGGAAGGCCCCAAGAGGCCGCCGGAACCAGGCGCCCGCCGGGGGACCUAAACUCUUGUAUUUUCUUACCUAGCAUGUCUGAGUGGAAUCAUAAACAAAUGAAUCAAAACUUUCAACAACGGAUCUCUUGGUUCUGGCAUCGAUGAAGAACGCAGCGAAAUGCGAUAAGUAAUGUGAAUUGCAGAAUUCAGUGAAUCAUCGAAUCUUUGAACGCACAUUGCGCCCGCCAGUAUUCUGGCGGGCAUGCCUGUUCGAGCGUCAUUUCAACCCUCAAGCCCCAGCGGCCUGGUGUUGGGGACCGGCGACCUCGCUGCACCUGGUGCAAGCGUCCGCCGCCCCCGAAAUGAAUUGGCGGCCUCGUCGCGGCCUCCUCUGCGUAGUAGCACAACCUCGCAACGGGAGCGCGACGCGGCCACUGCCGUAAAACGCCCAACUUUUUUAGAGUUGACCUCGGAUCAGGUAGGAAUACCCGCUGAACUUAAGCAUAUCAAUAAGCGGAGGAA
RNAcentral lists this ribosomal RNA (625 nucleotides) under fungal sp. BMP3045. Its description in RNAcentral is "eukaryotic LSU rRNA". The stretch from base 230 to 383 matches the Rfam family "5.8S ribosomal RNA". Lineage: Eukaryota; Fungi. The record is from RNAcentral.